This 206-nucleotide long non-coding RNA is filed under the name Coccomyxa subellipsoidea. RNAcentral describes it as "long non-coding RNA (CSUB_LNC000350)". Lineage: Eukaryota; Viridiplantae; Chlorophyta; Trebouxiophyceae; Coccomyxaceae. The record is from RNAcentral.
UGCUGUAUGAAGGAGCAGUACAAAACGCUGUUCGAUCGUAGGAGGCGCUGGACGUCCUGCAUCGUUCUGGGCAAGAGGCAGCCUCUGACAGGCAAAACGGAGAAAACUGUCACAUCGGGCUCAAAUGGCCCUAGAUCCCUUAACUUAUCAGCAUAUGUAGCAAUUCGUAAAGGAUCACAAAAUGCUGAGCUUUGAUUUUUGUGCAG